AGAGUUUGAUCCUGGCUCAGGACGAACGCUGGCGGCGUGCCUAACACAUGCAAGUCGAGCGAGGACAGAGAAGUAGCAAUACGACUUUGUUCUAGCGGCGGACGGGUGAGUAACGCGUGAGCAACCUGUCCCGAACAGGGGGAUAACGAGCCGAAAGGCUCACUAAUACCGCAUGAGACCACAACGUCACAUGACGAAGGGGUCAAAGGAGAAAUCCGGUUCGGGGUGGGCUCGCGUCUGAUUAGCUAGUUGGUGGGGUAACGGCCUACCAAGGCGACGAUCAGUAGCCGACCUGAGAGGGUGGUCGGCCACAUUGGAACUGAGAGACGGUCCAAACUCCUACGGGAGGCAGCAGUGGGGAAUAUUGGGCAAUGGGCGAAAGCCUGACCCAGCAACGCCGCGUGAAGGAAGAAGGUCUUCGGAUCGUAAACUUCUAUCCCCGGUGAAGAUAAUGACGGUAACCGGGAAGGAAGCCCCGGCUAACUACGUGCCAGCAGCCGCGGUAAUACGUAGGGGGCAAGCGUUGUCCGGAAUGAUUGGGCGUAAAGGGCGCGUAGGCGGCUCGGUAAGUCUGGAGUGAAAUUCCUGCUUUCAAGGUGGGAACUGCUUUGGAUACUGUCGGGCUUGAGUGCAGGAGAGGUAAGUGGAAUUCCCGGUGUAGCGGUGAAAUGCGUAGAGAUCGGGAGGAACACCAGUGGCGAAGGCGACUUACUGGACUGUAACUGACGCUGAGGCGCGAAAGUGUGGGGAGCAAACAGGAUUAGAUACCCUGGUAGUCCACGCCGUAAACGAUGAGUGCUAAGUGUUGGAGGGUUUCCGCCCUUCAGUGCUGCAGCUAACGCAUUAAGCACUCCGCCUGGGGAGUACGACCGCAAGGUUGAAACUCAAAGGAAUUGACGG
Molecule: ribosomal RNA, 900 nt
Filed under: uncultured bacterium
Lineage: Bacteria
Description: bacterial SSU rRNA
Rfam family: Bacterial small subunit ribosomal RNA
Source: RNAcentral